UGGGGAAUAUUGCACAAUGGGCGCAAGCCUGAUGCAGCCAUGCCGCGUGUGUGAAGAAGGCCUUCGGGUUGUAAAGCACUUUCAGCGGGGAGGAAGGCGGUGAGGUUAAUAACCUCAUCGAUUGACGUUACCCGCAGAAGAAGCACCGGCUAACUCCGUGCCAGCAGCCGCGGUAAUACGGAGGGUGCAAGCGUUAAUCGGAAUUACUGGGCGUAAAGCGCACGCAGGCGGUCUGUCAAGUCGGAUGUGAAAUCCCCGGGCUCAACCUGGGAACUGCAUUCGAAACUGGCAGGCUAGAGUCUUAUAGAGGGGGGUAGAAUUCCAGGUGUAGCGGUGAAAUGCGUAGAGAUCUGGAGGAAUACCGGUGGCGAAGGCGGCCCCCUGGACAAAGACUGACGCUCAGGUGCGAAAGCGUGGGGAGCAAACAGG
Molecule: ribosomal RNA, 429 nt
Filed under: Chloroflexota bacterium
Lineage: Bacteria; Bacillati; Chloroflexota
Description: Chloroflexi bacterium partial 16S ribosomal RNA
Rfam family: Bacterial small subunit ribosomal RNA
Source: RNAcentral